GCCGGUUUAGCUCAGUGGUAGAGCAAUGCUUUUGUAAAGCGGAGGUCGUGGGUUCGAAUCCUACAACCGGCA
RNAcentral lists this transfer RNA (72 nucleotides) under Sphingomonas sp. Root241. It matches the Rfam family "tRNA". Rfam says of the family: Transfer RNA (tRNA) molecules are approximately 80 nucleotides in length. Their secondary structure includes four short double-helical elements and three loops (D, anti-codon, and T loops). Further hydrogen bonds mediate the characteristic L-shaped molecular structure. tRNAs have two regions of fundamental functional importance: the anti-codon, which is responsible for specific mRNA codon recognition, and the 3' end, to which the tRNAs corresponding amino acid is attached (by aminoacyl-tRNA synthetases). tRNAs cope with the degeneracy of the genetic code in two manners: having more than one tRNA (with a specific anti-codon) for a particular amino acid; and 'wobble' base-pairing, i.e. permitting non-standard base-pairing at the 3rd anti-codon position. The record is from Rfam by way of RNAcentral. Lineage: Bacteria; Pseudomonadati; Pseudomonadota; Alphaproteobacteria; Sphingomonadales; Sphingomonadaceae.